RNAcentral lists this ribosomal RNA (253 nucleotides) under uncultured bacterium. RNAcentral's name for it is "partial 16S ribosomal RNA". It matches the Rfam family "Bacterial small subunit ribosomal RNA", at positions 524 to 776 of the family's 1533-position model. The record is from RNAcentral.
UACGGAGGGUGCAAGCGUUGUCCGGAUUUAUUGGGCGUAAAGAGCGUGUAGGUGGCCAGUUAGGUCCGCUGUGAAAACUCGAGGCUCAACCUCGAGAUGUCGGCUGAAACCAUCUGGCUAGAGUCCGGAAGAGGAGAAUGGAAUUCCCGGUGUAGCGGUGAAAUGCGCUGAUAUCGGGAAGAACACCCGUGGCGAAGGCGGUUCUCUGGGACGGUACUGACGCUGAGACGCGAAAGCGUGGGGAGCGAACAGG